This 406-nucleotide ribosomal RNA is filed under the name uncultured bacterium. RNAcentral's name for it is "partial 16S ribosomal RNA". It matches the Rfam family "Bacterial small subunit ribosomal RNA", at positions 30 to 526 of the family's 1533-position model. The record is from RNAcentral.
AUUGAACGCUGGCGGCAGGCCUAACACAUGCAAGUCGAACGAGUGGCGGACGGGUGAGUAAUGUCUGGGAAACUGCCUGAUGGAGGGGGAUAACUACUGGAAACGGUAGCUAAUACCGCAUACCAUCGGAUGUGCCCAGAUGGGAUUAGCUAGUAGGUGGGGUAACGGCUCACCAAGGCGACGAUCCCUAGCUGGUCUGAGAGGCUGAACGGCCACACUGGAACUGAGACACGGUCCAGACUCCUACGGGAGGCAGCAGUGGGGAAUAUUGCACAAUGGGCGCAAGCCUGAGGCAGCCAUGCCGCGUGUAUGAAGAAGGCUUUCGGGUUGUAAAGUACUUUCGGCGGGGAGGCGUUACCCGAAGAGGAAGCCCCGGCUAACUCCGUGCCAGCAGCCGCGGUAAUUC